This 73-nucleotide transfer RNA is filed under the name Mus musculus (house mouse). It matches the Rfam family "tRNA". Rfam says of the family: Transfer RNA (tRNA) molecules are approximately 80 nucleotides in length. Their secondary structure includes four short double-helical elements and three loops (D, anti-codon, and T loops). Lineage: Eukaryota; Metazoa; Chordata; Mammalia; Rodentia; Muridae. The record is from Rfam by way of RNAcentral.
GGGGAUGUAGCUCAGUGGCAGAGUGCAUACUUUGCAUGUAUGAGUUACCUGGGUGAAAACUCCAGUAUCUCCA